GGGAGUAGAUGGGUCCUGGUGGGUCCUCUGGACUUCAAAUCCAGUAUCGGGUGGUGGCCCCAUCCGGGGUGGGUUCGAUUCCCACAUACUCCCGCCA
This 97-nucleotide transfer RNA is filed under the name Bacillota bacterium. Its description in RNAcentral is "Firmicutes bacterium (anaerobic digester metagenome) tRNA-Sec". It matches the Rfam family "Selenocysteine transfer RNA". The record is from RNAcentral. Lineage: Bacteria; Bacillati; Bacillota.